Long non-coding RNA from Melopsittacus undulatus (budgerigar), 5089 nucleotides. RefSeq lists it as uncharacterized. Lineage: Eukaryota; Metazoa; Chordata; Aves; Psittaciformes; Psittaculidae. The record is from RefSeq and is a predicted model, not a curated record. The transcript has 3 exons.
AGCAAAGAGGAGGAGGCACCUGCACUGAUUUCCUCACAUGGAAUCUGGGAGACAAACCCUUUCCAUACAGGACUGCAAAGGUGGGAUGGGCUCUCCGUGAUUCAUAGCAUUGCUUCCAUUGAAUGAGAGGAAACCAAGGAGCUGGAACAAGAGGCUUGGAGAACAAGUUGCAGGUGAUUGCAACCCCUACAAAGCACAUCUGUGCUGGGAUGCUGCGUGCUGCAUCAGUGAGGAGGAUGAUGCCAAUCCAAUGUCCUGGUUGGAAUCUGCAGCCUCAAAGCCUGAGAUUUCCCUUCUGAAGGUGGCCACCAAGUUAUUGUGGAGCUGGUCCCUGGGCCCACAUUCCUGGUUAUUCCCCAGGAACCCUGAUGGUUUGUGCUGUGCUCUAGUCAUGGCACUGAGCACCUAAAACCAGGUAGGAAGCAUUAGAGUUAUCUGAGGAGGGGAUGCUGACCUGCUGAGCUACACAAACAGUUCCUCACUGGAUUUGUUUCACUGGAAGUAGUUGGUUAUGCCCUGAACCACCAGCAUCUGUGCAUUGUUGUUGAUGGAAGUGAUAACUCAGAUCAAGCCUCUUCUUGCUUAAACCAAGAUCUUAUCAAGAACGAUGUUGUUGGAAGUGUUGCUUGGAGGCUGGUGUGUGAGCAGGAUGGGGAGUGGGCUGGAAGGGCAGGUGAGAUGAGGGAACGCAUUGAGGAUGCUGUUACCAACCUGAGGAGAGCUUUGUUCCAGCUCAUGUUCUUCCAUAUCCUAUCCAUCAGCCCGUGGGUUGGAGGGGAUUUGAUGUAACCCCGUGGUUAAUCAUGCGAGUGCCUGCAGGAAGCUGUUGCUUGUGUUCGUUGUGCUGCAGAAACCACCUUUUCCCCUUUGUGCUGAGCAGUGGCUUGUUAGAGAACACCAGAAACCUUUAUAUUCUUGCUUGGAGAUUGGAUGGACUACAAUAAAUCCACGGCCUUUUCACAAGUCUUCUCUAUACCUUUUGAUGGUAUAUAGGUUUUAAAUAUGAAGCUAUUAUGGAAAACCUUACAGAAACCAUAAUACUCAUCUCUGCCUCCUGUGUAGCAGUAAAGCCCCUAAAUUGUCUCCAUAAAAUCCUACCUGAAUAAACUGCUAAAACACUCUUCAUGCAGGAAGGGAAUGCAAGAGAAACCUGGUAAAGGGCAGCUGGGACCUGGAACCUUUCCUCAUGUGUAUGUUCUGUUCCUGGUGUGGCAGAAGUCAUAGGGCUGUCACUAAGAGAGCCAUAAGGGACACUUGGAAAGAGCAGAAGGCACUUGCAGAUGCCACCAGAGUCUAUAUUAAUUCUAUUCUGUUGGCAUUUCACUUGACUGCAGCAUCUAUAAGCGUUUUCAGUUGAUACAGAGGAGGGAAAAUGCCUUUUUACACAUGUAAGAAACCACUCCAUAGGAUUGCUGUGCUUUGAGUUCCCCAUUGGCAGUAUUCAGUGUGUCAGCAUCCUUGAUGCGAUGGCAGCGGCUGCUUCAUCUGGUGCACCCAUGGGCAUGAGGAUGCAAUGUCAGCCCCAGCCUUGCUCCUGCACCGUGGGGAGCUUGAGGGGGCUUUAAAGGCAGCUGAGCACAGAUCAAUACCUCUUGGUCCUCUUCCUCUCCUUCCAGUUCCCAUCUCUGCUCCAGAGGUGACAAAUGGCACUGGGGAACCAGAGAGGUUUUCUGUUGUCUGGGUCACAGCGUGGGCUCAGGGUUUGCUGUAAGUCCAUGGGCAAAACUGGUUAAUCAGAGCUCUUCUUCCACUGUAAAGCCUUUGAGAUCCCUUGGAUUUUCACACCUCCCCAUUGCUUCAAUAGGAAUGUGGCUGUAAUGUUUCCCCCCUGUUCUCAGGUUGGGUUUUAGUCCUUAAGUUGUUCAUUGAGAUGAUGAAACAAGAAGACUUUGUGCUAUUGAAAGCACUGUGUGAACAUCUCUGAAAUCUCCCUUGUUAGAGAGCUGAUGAUGUGAGGCAAGUCCUUUGUCAUUGAAUGUCAGGUUUCUAGUGUGGUUUCAGCCUACCUCCAACCACCAUUCCUUGUGUGGAUGCUGUUCUGUCAACAGAGCUUUAGCUCAGAAGGCUACAGAGCCUUGCUUGUGAUGUGUAUUGAGGUACUGUGAAGCCUCGCAACAGACAGGAGAAAACCCGAGGUCCAUCUGCGUUCUGCCAGCAGAUACAGGUUUGUGUAACGCUUUAGGUUGGCUUUUAUAACUGUGAGCAUUGUCUGCAGCUUGGUUUCCUGUUCCUGAUUAACCAGCUGUGAAAUCCUCCUUAGUUUCCCUUGCCUCUGUCUCAGGGAACACAGGGUUAGGAAGCAGUUUGAGGUACGGCACAGCCUUGCUCUGAUGCUUCAGGCUCACUGCUGCCUGUGACAUUGUUCCCUUUGGGUGUCUCUUUAAUCUGAGGGACUUCCCAAAGUGCCAUUGUCAAUGCUGUGGACCAUUACGCAUCCAUCGCAAGGCUCCCAGUGCAGGAGCAGUACAAACCCCUGCUGGCAUCUCACACAUCCUUUCUGCUGGGCAGGUUAUUUAAUAGCUGAGGUGGGAACUUGCACAGCUCCUUUCUCCCUCAGCACAGAGCAGAGCUCGGUUCUACAUCGCCUUUCAUGUCCUGCUUCCAAAGCUGCUCUUUUGUAUUGCUCAGGAGGGACCAGUGGGAUUGCCUGGACUCACACAGUGCCAGACUGGGGCUGGCUUGAUUCCUAAUGUGCUCUGGAAUGACUGGGAUGAGCUCAGGUGGAAAUCAGCCCCCCCAUCCCCUAAACCUUUUAGCUUCUGUGAGCACUUGAAUGCCUUCAAAUACAUACCUAUGGGUCACAAGAAGUGGGGCACUGGGGAAGCAGAUGGGUCAUUCUCUGCAAGGUUCAUAAUAAAGCUUGGCACAUUGCUUUGGAGCUAGUUGGGCUGCAUUGAGUUGCUAGACGGGAUGCUUCAACACAGCAUCUUUAUUAAGGUGCUACAUGGGAAAAGAGCCCAUUUUCUCUUUGGUUUUAGAGGUUCUGAUCAUUCCAGCUAUGGAAGGGAAUGCUUGUUUGGGAAAAAUCCAUGCGAGGUUCAGAGGACUCCAUGCAAAGUGAAGCUGUGGCUGCCCCAUCCCUGGCAGUGCUCAAGGCCAGCUUGGACACAGAGGCUUGGAGCAGCUGCUCCAGUGGAAGGGGUCCCUGCCCAUGGCAGGGGGUUAGAACUGAAUCAGCAAUAGGGUCCUUUCCAAUCCAAACAGUUGGGGAUUCCAUGUGCCUCUCUCCAAGGAAAAGGCAGGAAAGCAAAGCCUGAAUUGAAGUGUUCUGUUGAAAACGUUCAUUUGCAAGUUGGAUUUUGACAUUUUCCCACUUAAAAAGCCUCUGUUCUCCCCCAUGGAGAGCAUUGAGAGGAGAAGCAAAUUUAUGAGUUGUGAGUAUUGAAAGGAGGAUGUUCACAAACACACUGGGUUUUUUCCUUUGGCCUGGUUUGAUUGCUUCAGUACUAAAUAUAGCAGCCUUAACUUGGAGUUUCCAGGCCUUUCCAAGCACGAUGUUUGGUUUAAAGUUGUUCCUUCCACCCCAGUUUUUUUGCCGUUUGUCUUAAUUUGAACCUAAAACAUUCAGUGUGAUAAUAUAUGGUGAUGAAUAUUAUCACUUCAAUGAGCUGCGAGUCCUGAUGUGAUUGAAGCUGGGGUUUGUGUUUGACAGGUGAUGGUGCAUCAGCCAUCCUCGUCUGCUGAGGUUUCAGCUGCAGACACAAGCAGGGCUAUAGUCCAUGGUAAGAACUUAUCCUUGCACAGCAACAGUCUUCAGCUGCACAUUGAGGGAUAGGACCUCGCUCAAACCAGUAAGUAUCCCAUGUCCAUUAUGGAGUAGAAACUGGGGGUUUCUCCAGUGGCAUGGGAAAAACACCAUUUCAAUGCGGAAACAGAGCAAACAGCAGGAUUCUAUGAUUCACUGUAUUAUUCCUCCAUUCAGGAAAGCAGGGACACCAUCUUGUAUGGCAAAACCAAUGGAUUCUCUGUAAAUAGGAUUAUAAUUAUCCUAGCAGAAGUGCAUUUGUAAUGCAGUUUGUUUGGCUGUAAGGUGAGCACAGCACAUGUGCAUCUGAUGCUUGCACGAGUGCACAACCUUACAGCUCUUUAACACCUAUCUCAAGCAACUCCCUCUAGGACAGAAGCAGCUAAAGAGGAGGAAGCCUUGAAGAGCCUCAUGGACACUGCAGUGAGUAUAUUCAUCCCUGUGUGAGGAUGCUGAGGCGCUUCCAACCCAAACCAUCCCAUGAUUGCAUGAGUAACGUGAAGUGUGCCCACUAGCAUGGCUAGCUCAGCCCUCCAUUGGUGCCCCCACUCUUAAUGAUACCAUUGAUGCUCUUUGGUUCGAAGAAACAUGCUAAAAAGCAAAACCAACCCCUCAAAAACGUUUCAAAGAGAAGGAAACCUACAGCACCAUCCACUUUGACACUUCCAGCUGUCCCAGAUAUAUAUUCCUGUUGGUUUAUGUGUUUAUGAGGCUCCUCAGCUGAUGACAGCACUGCAAGAGUGAGCCUUCAUCUUUCAACCUGCUGCCACUCAAAAUAAGACUCUUGAUACAUGGGUUUAAUGAAAUCCUUGGAGAAUGUUUAAAAACAUUAAUAUUAAAUACCACAAUUAAGGCUGAAAAGCCAAAAUCUACCAGCAAGAAUGGUGAAAAAGGUGGAACAUGAAGCUCUGGACAAGGUCCAUUUGGGAAUGGUCAAGAAGUUACAGGUAAAGAGUGUACCUGAGAGUGUUACAUAAACCAUCUCUCAAUGGGUGUGUUGGAUGGGCUGGAAUCUGGGAAGCACUAGAUAAUGAGGGAAUUUGUAAGAGCAGUGUUGUCUAAUGCUGCUUCUACUCUUCUGUUUCCAUCUCUAUCCAUUGGGUCUAGGAGAAACUGGGAAGAGAUCUUUGAUUAACCUGCUUCAUGUUUUUAGCCAUCAGUUAUAUCCCUGCAUUGAUAGUUAUGGUGAGACAAACAUUCCAGCUUUUAGGAAUGGUGCAAACACUCUAAUAUCUGGGAUAUUGUCUUUCCUUGAGGUUUCAAAGGUUGAUUUCCAGCUUGGUCAAUCGCCAAACAGCUCUAACUGUAUUUAUCCCAGUAAUUAAAAGCUACCAUUUUAAAUGC